GUGAAGCUUGUACCCGAAGUAAAAUUUCUGGUUAGCUUCAACGAUAAAACUUAAACCAUGGUGGGAGGAGGAAGUAAAGAUGUGGGUGAAGGAAGCAAACGGAAGAAAACUAAAGAUGAUGUGGGUGAAGGAAGCAAACCGAAGAAACCUAAAGAUGAUGAGGGUGAAGGAUGCAAACCGAAGAAAACUAAAGAUGAUGCGUAUGCAUAUCUUACGGCUGUAAGGGAUCAUUUUCACAAUGAGAAAAAAAGUUUGACGACUUUGUUAAGAUCAUGAAUAAUUUUAAAACUCGGAGUAUUGAUAGGGAUGAUUGCAUAAAAAAGGUGGAGAAACUGCUUAGAGGACAACGAAACUUGAUUUCGGGUUUCAAUGCAUUUUUACCAGAGAGUUUGGAGAUCACUAAUUAUUACUCUGGGGCAGGAGAGGGUCGGUGAUGCUUUGGGAUUUUCUGCGUUCGUCUAAACCAAUAAAUUUGUUCUAAACCGAAUAAAUUAUA
Molecule: non-coding RNA, 496 nt
Organism: Camelina sativa (false flax)
Lineage: Eukaryota; Viridiplantae; Streptophyta; Magnoliopsida; Brassicales; Brassicaceae
Source: RefSeq, a predicted model, not a curated record